This 222-nucleotide long non-coding RNA is filed under the name Carica papaya (papaya). Its description in RNAcentral is "long non-coding RNA (CPAP_LNC004587)". Lineage: Eukaryota; Viridiplantae; Streptophyta; Magnoliopsida; Brassicales; Caricaceae. The record is from RNAcentral.
UGGGAAUUAAGAAGAAAAGAAUUUGUCAUUAGGGAGAAUUAGUACCGAAUAAUUUUAUUAACUUGUAAAUGGCUCCUCGUUGGGAGGAUUAAAUACAAUCUUUUUAUUAAAGCAGUCUAUGGUGGCGUGAUACGCCGCCAGCCAAUCCAUUCCUAGGAUUACAUCAAAAUCCCCUGUGUCUAACCCUAUCAGGUCUACCCUCAAUUUCCUAUCUGCUAUCUC